CCUAUUUUAUUCGGAUUUGGAAGCAACAAUAUGAGCAUUCUCGCAAAGUCAGUCCAUCACAAGUGGAUGAACACUGUAAAAAAAAAAAUUUGCUUAUUACUCGCAUGCCUCUGCAUGACCUGUAUAUAGAAACCCUUGACAUAGUGCUUGUACAGACCUUAAAGUGACCCAUUUGUUGAUGGUCUUUGUUCAUGACAAGCUAUGAAUGAUCUGUGAAUGAUUUUACACUUGCUGAAGAGUUCUCAUAACAAGUGUUCUGGGCUUUCUCAAUAUACCUGGAGGCAGUUGCCAUUCUUCCCCAGUUGGUGCACUUGCAAAGAUGUGGAAAUGUUGAUAAUCUGACUGGACAAUAUGUGCUCUUCCUUGGGGCCUACCGUGCAUUUUACAUCUUAAACUGGAUUUACCGCUAUCUGACCGAGAUGGAUUUGUAACAAUUUGUUAAAGCUUGCUGAAGUGGCUCCUCCUUGAUGACAUAGACAAACUGGUUUAGCAGCUGGAAAAAUAGUGUCAAGCUUCAACUGCCAGCAUGAGGCAAAGAAGAUAUAUGAUGUGAACAGUUUUAACACCUAACCGGAAUCUGGUUUCCUACUGUGACUUGUGGACAUAAUUUUGGCAUACUACUUUUCUUUAGACGUGAGAUCAUACAUGGAGUUUGGCCUGAGGGUCAAGUAUUUCACUGAGCUCUUCUUACAUUGUUAGAUCAAGAUAAAGUACCCUUGUUAAUAUGGCAGAAAUAUGUUAAUUUGAAAAUGUUGUCUGCAUUCCUGUCAAAUGAUUGGAAUUUUCAAAGACAAUAGAGGUACGACUAGUGAAUUAUUUUGCUUCGUACAUAUUAAGUUUCUCAGAUGU
Molecule: long non-coding RNA, 849 nt
Organism: Solanum dulcamara
Lineage: Eukaryota; Viridiplantae; Streptophyta; Magnoliopsida; Solanales; Solanaceae
Exons: 4
Source: RefSeq, a predicted model, not a curated record